CGUUUAACAACUAGCAUACUAAUAAAAUUAAAAACUAAGUAUAACUAAUUUGUAAUAAACUAUGUGAAAUUAAACAAAUCAUUUUUUAACCUAAGUAUGGGAGACAGAAAAG
RNAcentral lists this ribosomal RNA (112 nucleotides) under Eleutherochir mccaddeni. Its description in RNAcentral is "partial 16S rRNA". The record is from RNAcentral. Lineage: Eukaryota; Metazoa; Chordata; Actinopteri; Syngnathiformes; Callionymidae.